GAUGAACGCUGGCGGCGUGCCUACUACAUGCAAGUCGAGCGAACAGACGAGGAGCUUGCUCCUCUGACGUUAGCGGCGGACGGGUGAGUAACACGUGGAUAACCUACCUAUAAGACUGGGAUAACUUCGGGAAACCGGAGCUAAUACCGGAUAAUAUAUUGAACCGCAUGGUUCAAUAGUGAAAGACGGUUUUGCUGUCACUUAUAGAUGGAUCCGCGCCGCAUUAGCUAGUUGGUAAGGUAACGGCUUACCAAGGCAACGAUGCGUAGCCGACGUGAGAGGGUGGUCGGCCACACGGGAACUGAGACACGGUCCAGAGUCCUACGGGAGGCAGCAGUAGGGAAUCUUCCGCAAUGGGCGAAAGCCUGACGGAGCAACGCCGCGUGAGUGAUGAAGGUCUUCGGAUCGUAAAACUCUGUUAUUAGGGAAGAACAAAUGUGUAAGUAACUAUGCACGCCUUGACGGUACCUAAUCAGAAAGCCACGGCUAACUACGUG
Molecule: ribosomal RNA, 497 nt
Filed under: uncultured bacterium
Lineage: Bacteria
Description: partial 16S ribosomal RNA
Rfam family: Bacterial small subunit ribosomal RNA
Source: RNAcentral